Molecule: long non-coding RNA, 2405 nt
Organism: Chiroxiphia lanceolata (lance-tailed manakin)
Lineage: Eukaryota; Metazoa; Chordata; Aves; Passeriformes; Pipridae
Exons: 3
Source: RefSeq, a predicted model, not a curated record
GCGCAGCCAAUCAGCGGCCGGGGUUUGGCCCCCCAGGAAAAUGGCGGCAGCGAGGCCCCCCCAAGCUCGGGAUUCGCUUUAUGGACUUAUUUUAGUAACUCCGUCCUUAUCCAGCCCUUCAAAGCACCUUCUCAUGGGGAACAGAACCCUGUCAGUUCUGGGAUUCUGUGAUCCUGUGAUGUUAGCAGUUCACACACCAGAAAAUCUCCAGGGACCUUCUGGCUGAGCAUUGUAUACAAACAGCCAUAAAUUACUGCAUUUACAUUUACAUCACUACGCUAUUACAUGAAGGCUCAGAUCGGGAGCAGCACCUUCUGUUUUCCUCUAUUUAGUUUUUUUUCCUGUGUGCUCAUUCCCAUUUUAAAGUCCCCCCUAUUUACCUGCAGCACAGUCUAGACAGCUAAUGAAAUAAUAAGAGCCCAGCGGGUUUUUACAAGAACGUAGACAAAAAGAGCAUCAGAAAUAAAUACAUGAGUAAGAACUGGAAGGUCGAUGGCUCGGUACUGAGGGUGCCACAGGCAAGGGUGUCCCGGGAUUAUGAGGUGCAUUACUGCCAUUCCUAAAAUCCCCAAAGGAAUCACCCCGUUGUUCUAAGGACCGUGGAGGAACAGCAGGUCACAUUUAUAAAAUGUGCUUAAAGAUGUAGUUGAAUCCCAAAGGGAUUUUUCCAGACAGUUCAUAAAACCAGGUUGUGAGUCACCCCUGGAAGCUAAUGGGAGUAAGGCCUGGAACUUAUCUAGGUGCUUUUAAUAAAUCCUGCUCUUUCCAUAUCGACAUGAUUAAAUACAUAAUAUGCUUUUUUUAACUGUGACCCAGUGUUUAUGCAGUGCCAAGAGCAGCAAGCUGAGCACUAAAAUGCUCCAUACUUCUGGAAAAUAGUGCCUACUCUGGAGAAUCCAAAAUAUUAAUGAGCAGGUAGUGUGCAGUCAGACUGAGACAGAGAAACGAAGCUUUCUCCUCUAAAAACCUCACAGCAGGGCUUUAAUCUUUUAAUUUUUAAAGAUGCUUUUGCAUAGACUUUAAAUUUCAGAAGUUGCCUCUGAACUAUCAAGGCUAGAUUUUUUCAUUCCCUCUGUUCACUGCAGGUCGAGCAUCCUGACCAAAACAGUCAGGCAUUGCUGGAUUCCUGUCACCCUCCACACAAGGCAUGGAAAAGCAACGGAGGAACAAUCCUCUGGAAAACCAAGUUCUCACAUUCCCCCUUCUCACAGCGGAGAGAAACAGGGAAUAAUCGUCCCUGGUACCGCUACCUAUUCCAUUCCCUGCUGUUGCUCAUCAGUCCCCUGGUUGCCCAUCAGUUUUUCCAGCCCGUGGAGGGUGUUGUCGCGUGGUCCUUCCUCCCGUCUUACUCGCGGCUGUUGUUUCUGGAGCUGCCAGUACUACUGCUUGGCACGGCUCCCCCGGUGACUCCGAGCUGGUGGCAGGCAGGGCUGAGCCCUGCCCAGCGCUUUCCCAGGAAGGCCUGGCUUCCUCUCAGAGGAAAACCAGCUCGGCCCCCGGAGCGUGUCUGCCCGUCCAUCGGGGAGAAAAUAAAAAGUGAUUCAGCUUAUUUUUGUCUCCCCGCCGACGUCCCCGGUGAAGCGGAGCUGGUGUGGUUUGAUUUGAAACACGUUCCUCGCUUACAGCAGGGAUUUUAUUUGAAUGUUGAUUGUUUGUUUAUCAUUCCCUUCUAUGUAUGUGGCUGGGUAAAAAGCCCUUUUGUUUUGAAGCGUCCUGUGAACUGCAGCAGGAAGCUCAGGAACUCCUGGUGGACUGAAUGAAACACAGUCAAUGAUAAUAAAAUUAUAGAAGGUUGGAGCCAGGAGGAAACUAAGUAGAUGGUGUAGUUGGACUUCCCACACUAAACCUGGACUUGGAUGUUUGCUGGCGUGUUCUUAAACAUUUUUAACACCUCCAGGGAGCUUCCAUAACAUUGUGAGAUGGAUCUUCUGAAUGUUCCACCUCUGUGACAGUGAGAAGCUCUUGACUAACUUGGCAAAAUUGAGCAUGGAAGAAGUUUAAAUUGCUCUGAAGUGCCCUCCUCUAACUGAAAUAGGUUAGAACUAAAUGUGUUGUUAGAACAGGAAGAUAUUUGGAGUGAGUGAUGUCUGACACCUUCUUUGCUCAAAUCUGGCUGUCUGGACACACACCCUGAGGUCUUGGACACUCAACUUCCUCUUCACUUUCUGGUCUCCAGCAUCUCAGAAAAGCCAAGAGAUCUGCCCUGGGCCAAGGUGCCGGAUUAAACCUGGGAUUAAAGCCUGGGAUUGCUCAACAGUAGCUUUGAUACACCCAGAGCUGGUCCCAUCCGCAGCCUGGGGCUUGGAAUCGCAUUCCAAUGGGUAUCCCUAAUUCCCCCAGUGCAGAGAACAAUCCUGUGCAGUCAGUCUGCUUCCUGUGCAUUGUGACUGCUGGCUGAUGACCAC